Molecule: ribosomal RNA, 350 nt
Filed under: uncultured bacterium
Lineage: Bacteria
Description: bacterial SSU rRNA
Rfam family: Bacterial small subunit ribosomal RNA
Source: RNAcentral
ACGAAGUAGCAAUACUUAGUGGCAGACGGGUGAGUAACAUGUAGGUAUCUGCCCUUUGGCCUGGAAUAACACGAGGAAACUUGUGCUAAUACCGGAUAAGUCUUUACGGAGAAAGCUUUAUGCACCAUUGGAUGAGCCUGCACUUGAUUAGUUUGUUGGUGGGGUAAUGGCCUACCAAGACUGUGAUCAAUAGCUGAUUUGAGAGGAUGAUCAGCCACAUUGGGACUGAGACACGGCCCAAACUCCUACGGGAGGCAGCAGUGGGGAAUCUUGCACAAUGGAGGAAACUCUGAUGCAGCGAUGCCGCGUGAGUGAAGAAGGCCUUUGGGUUGUAAAGCUCUUUCGUCGGG